Molecule: ribosomal RNA, 450 nt
Filed under: uncultured bacterium
Lineage: Bacteria
Description: partial 16S ribosomal RNA
Rfam family: Bacterial small subunit ribosomal RNA
Source: RNAcentral
GUGGGGAAUUUUGGACAAUGGGCGCAAGCCUGAUCCAGCAAUGCCGCGUGCAGGAAGAAGGCCUUCGGGUUGUAAACUGCUUUUGUACGGAACGAAACGGUCCUGGUUAAUACCUGGGGCUAAUGACGGUACCGUAAGAAUAAGCACCGGCUAACUACGUGCCAGCAGCCGCGGUAAUACGUAGGGUGCAAGCGUUAAUCGGAAUUACUGGGCGUAAAGCGUGCGCAGGCGGUGUUGUAAGACAGGCGUGAAAUCCCCGGGCUCAACCUGGGAAUGGCGCUUGUGACUGCAAAGCUGGAGUGCGGCAGAGGGGGAUGGAAUUCCGCGUGUAGCAGUGAAAUGCGUAGAUAUGCGGAGGAACACCGAUGGCGAAGGCAAUCCCCUGGGCCUGCACUGACGCUCAUGCACGAAAGCGUGGGGAGCAAACAGGAUUAGAUACCCGUGUAGUCC